UUAAAUUGAAGAGUUUGAUCAUGGCUCAGAUUGAACGCUGGCGGCAGGCCUAACACAUGCAAGUCGAACGGUAACAGGAAGCAGCUUGCUGUUUCGCUGACGAGUGGCGGACGGGUGAGUAAUGUCUGGGAAACUGCCUGAUGGAGGGGGAUAACUACUGGAAACGGUGGCUAAUACCGCAUAACGUCGCAAGACCAAAGAGGGGGACCUUCGGGCCUCUUG
RNAcentral lists this ribosomal RNA (222 nucleotides) under Salmonella enterica subsp. enterica serovar Newport. RNAcentral's name for it is "partial 16S ribosomal RNA". It matches the Rfam family "Bacterial small subunit ribosomal RNA", at positions 1 to 217 of the family's 1533-position model. The record is from RNAcentral. Lineage: Bacteria; Pseudomonadati; Pseudomonadota; Gammaproteobacteria; Enterobacterales; Enterobacteriaceae.